GACGAACGCUGGCGGCGUGCCUCAAACAUGCAAGUCGAGCGGGGAACUUUUAAAAGCGCAAGCUUUUAUAAGUUCCUAGCGGCGAACGGGUGAGUAACACGUGGGCAACCUACCCAGAAGACCGGGAUAACGGCUCGAAAGGGCCGCUAAUACCGGAUAAUGUCGGGGUACCGCAUGGUACUCCGAAGAAAGGGGAAACCCGCUUUUGGAUGGGCCCGCGUCCCAUCAGCUAGUUGGUGAGGUAACGGCUCACCAAGGCGACGACGGGUAGCCGGUCUGAGAGGAUGGUCGGCCACACUGGGACUGAGACACGGCCCAGACUCCUACGGGAGGCAGCAGUUGGGAAUCUUGGGCAAUGGGCGAAAGCCUGACCCAGCGACGCCGCGUGAGGGAAGAAGGCCUUCGGGUCGUAACCUCUGUCAUGGGGAAGAAGCAAGUGACGGUACCCAACGAGGAAGCCCCUGCUAACUACGUG
RNAcentral lists this ribosomal RNA (475 nucleotides) under uncultured bacterium. Its description in RNAcentral is "bacterial SSU rRNA". It matches the Rfam family "Bacterial small subunit ribosomal RNA", at positions 28 to 507 of the family's 1533-position model. The record is from RNAcentral.